ACUCCUACGGGAGGCAGCAGUGGGGGAUAUUGCACAAUGGACGCAAGUCUGAUGGAGCAACGCCGCGUGAGUGAAGAAGGUUUUCGGAUCGUAAAACUCUGUUGUUAGAGAAGAACGUGUGUGAGAGUAACUGUUCAUGCAGUGACGGUAUCUAACCAGAAAGCCACGGCUAACUACGUGCCAGCAGCCGCGGUAAU
RNAcentral lists this ribosomal RNA (197 nucleotides) under uncultured bacterium. RNAcentral's name for it is "partial 16S ribosomal RNA". It matches the Rfam family "Bacterial small subunit ribosomal RNA", at positions 335 to 524 of the family's 1533-position model. The record is from RNAcentral.